UGCAGGGCCAUGAGUGAUUUAUCAUGUAGUCAAGUACAACUGUGAAGGAGACCUCCUCUUGACCAUUACCAAAGUCCCUAUCAUGAAUGUGUGGUGCUCUGUGAAUGGGGAGAAGCUGGGCACCUACAUGGUUCUUAUUGAAGCUGUGUAGUGUGUGUAUACUGACAUGGAUACCAAGCAUGUCCCACAGCCCAGCUGACAAGAGCUGUCAGCUCUGAGAUUGAGACAGGGAAACAGCUGGCUCUACUCAAGAUCAACCAGCUGUCUGGAGGUGUGGUUUUGACUUUGCGGGCAACAUCUACAUGUUUUCCAUGAGAAGCAGAUGGGAUAUCAGAGUUUUGAUCUACAAGAUCCAAGACAGAUGGACAGUGAUAUGAAGAUACCCUGCAGUGAUCCCAAGAUCACCAGAGCUGUUUGUGAACUCCUGAGGUAAUAAUUCAUCUAUCACAGGCCAUGAGAGUGGAGAGCUCAACCAAUAUAGUGCAAAGUCUGGAGAGGUGUUGGUGAAUGUUCAGGAGUACUCCUGGUAGAUCAAUGACAUCUAGCUGUCUGGAGACAUGGCCAUGUUUGCCAUAGCAUCCAAGGAGAGCACAGCUUAGUUCUGACUCUGUGAGUGUUGAACUUCAGAAGACUUAUCUCACCUGCUUUUUCUCCCAACUCUGACCAUGUCAUGCUAGGAGGUUGUAAGUCAUAGAUGUAACCACAAUUUCCAUCAGGACUGGCAAGUUUGAGGCCAGGUUCUUCCACUUGUCCUUUGAAGAAGAUUUGGGAAAAGUCAAGAGCCACUCUAGAUCCAUCAACAACAUUGUCUUCCUUCCUGAUGGAAGAGCUACAGGAGCAGUGUCAAAGAGGGUUACAUCUGUAUCCACUGCUUCAAUCCACAGUGAAUCUGUGUUCAAGGCCUAAGAAGCU
RNAcentral lists this long non-coding RNA (912 nucleotides) under Mus musculus (house mouse). RNAcentral's name for it is "long non-coding RNA chr11:49404619-49405531". The record is from RNAcentral. Lineage: Eukaryota; Metazoa; Chordata; Mammalia; Rodentia; Muridae.